Molecule: non-coding RNA, 348 nt
Organism: Pelobates cultripes (western spadefoot toad)
Lineage: Eukaryota; Metazoa; Chordata; Amphibia; Anura; Pelobatidae
Source: the annotation of a GenBank genome assembly
UAAUGUCAAUUCUGUGCAUAUUUUACUUCUGUUCUCAGUGCUCACUGCACGCUGGUGACAGACUUUCUCUGCAAGGGAGGUUUGUGUCCUUUCCUACUUUCCUCUCUCCAUUACUGCAGCCCUACCGCCUCCCUGUGCCCUUUGAUAAUUUUUUUUCUCCCGCCCGCCUUUUACCCCUCUGUUCCUUUAACCCUCCCUUAGCCGACUCAGAGCGUGCGCAUGCACUCUGAGCCAGUUAAAUCGUCAAGUCAAAGGCUUCUCUGUGAGAAAUCUGCGAUAGGACUCCCCCACGGCUCUUGUGACUCCACAUGGGGGGCCGUGCCGAGCACCACAGGAUUAAUAUUAAUA